Cygnus olor (mute swan) is the source of this 11597-nucleotide long non-coding RNA. RefSeq lists it as uncharacterized. NCBI's taxonomy places the organism in Eukaryota, Metazoa, Chordata, Aves, Anseriformes, Anatidae. The record is from RefSeq and is a predicted model, not a curated record. The transcript is spliced from 12 exons.
CACAGCUUGAAUGGAAGCUGUAAAUGUGCAGGUAGCAGGAAUAGCAGUGGAAAACCAGAAAAGACAAAAUCCUCCUCCUCUGCUCCCAGAGUCUUCCCUCUGUGUCGACUUGUGCGUUCUCUGAGAUGAAUACUCUUUCAAGCUGGAAGUGGACAUAGCAACCAGAGCGAUAAACUUUUCUUUAAGUUUCCUUCAGUUGGUUUGAGGAGGUCUGUCUGGCGUGCCUACCCACGGGCAGGGAGACACUGCUGUCCAGCCAGAGCUGAACAACCUGUGUGGAGAAUACAAAGGCUUUCUUAUGCUGGGCAGUGUCUUAGCUCUGUGAAAACCCUGCGUCGAAUGGGUGUGUGCCUGUGGAGAAGGUCCUGCCGAAGCAGAGGGGUGAGUGAGAUCCCAAGUGGAGGAUCCCCUGUGACAGACAGCACUACUGCCAGGACCUGACACGGAGCUGGGGCUGCCAGUGGAAGCCAAGCUGCAGCAGAGCAAGCAGAGAGUCUGGUGCACUCGUAUGGGCAGGUCAGCUUGGUGGAUUUUAUGGCAGACUUCUACAGCUGAGGGACAACUGUCUGUGGAUCUCCAGGUGACUUUAAUCUGUAAUAUCAGCAAUAAUCACUGUGGUAUUGUUGCCUAGGCAUUCUUGAAGAGUCAAAAGUGGACUGUAAUUGAAGAGUUCAUUACCAAGAUCAGUUGGCUCCUUGAUUACAGUGGCAAGGUGAAAUAUAUAUCCUCACCAAAAAGCAACUGCUAAACCUUUAGAGAAGUCACCCACUUUUCACUCUUUUUCAUUAGGACCCCGACAAGCCUUGUCAGCAAAAUUAAAGAGCCAUCAGGCUGCAGAUGCACCUGUACAGCAGCACCUAGACACCGCCUCCUUGAGCUGCCAGUUGAGCGUGCCAGGGUUUUCAAGCGAGAGGAGCCGUGGAGGUAAAGCUGUUGUUCUUUCCUGCCUUUAAAGACAGCAGACUCAGAGAGAUGAGAUCCGUGUAUUUCAAUGCAUCUGAGGGUAAGUGUCCCAAACAUGAUUUCACCUGGUCCCACGGUGCUUUCUUUGGUUAACACUGGCAGUGCCCUUGGUUACAAAAAAGCCCCGUUUUCAAAGCUGGCACUUAAUUUCCUCUUGUAAGUUUUUUUCAUAACCUUUGUAUGAAUUCUUUGUGCUUUUGUGAUCAUUUGGGAAUGAAGAUCUUCUCUCAAAUUCUAUUUUAUUCCUUUUAAAUGUGACAAAUAUAAAUAUGGAAACAAGGCGGCAUACGUUAAUAAUAGAGAUGUGUGAAACUGUGGGAUUUUUGCCUUUUUGUAAAAGCUGCAAGAAGAUGCCAGUAUUUCUGCAGAUGGAAACUAUUUUUUCCACCUUCAAAGCAUCACACAGCAUAAAAUCUGUGGCUGUUUGAGUAUUGUUGGGUAGAUGCUAAAGGUAACAAGGAAAUAGAGACUCUCUCGUGACAAUUUAUACAAACUGGCUCCUAUCUCGUUCUUUUGACAACUACAACUCCCUGAAAGACACCUCAGCAUCUAGUCAUCACCAUUGUCCAGAUUAAUUGUGAUAUUUCUAUGGUGAAUUAAUAGUAUCCUCCGUGAUCUCAGGAAUCAUUCUUAAAAGAGUACCAUCCGUCCAUUAAAUUCUGAGGUAAAACAAUCUAGGCACAUGGUGCUGAUGGAUCUGGGAUUAAAUUGUGAGCAAGCAUUUAUUAAGAGACAGAUCCUGCAGUUAUGUUUAGAGAGCUCAACAGAAUACAAGCUGAUGAUUAGAGAGGACCCACUCUCCCCCACACCUCAAGCAAUGUCCCAGCACUGAAUCCCUGAGAAGUUCAGACCUAGUUGGAAACUUUGCAGCUCAACAUCCUUACUAAUUUUCUUCUCUUCAGUGAAUUUAAUAUCCCACACAUUUAAACUGUGCCUGGCUCAUGGCUUGCAAAUCCUUUUAACAGUAGGUUGGUGAGUCUUUACAUCAUCCUGUGCAUCACAGGAUUGCUUAGAUAAUCUGUUUCUUGAAGUACUUGUAAAAUCUCCUCACUGUAAUUUCCCCCUGGCUCACUCUCUCCUCCUCCCUAAGAGUACAGGGCUGAUACAGGGCUAGCUCUGAACCUGCGAAUCUGGCACGUUGUUAUCACUGAGGCUCCUGCCAAUGUGUCACAGGUGUGCACAAUGACGAGCAUAAGGAAAAAAGGGAGUUUGUGAUUGUCCAAAACCAGCUAGGAUGGCAGCUGCCAGUGUGCAGAGCACCACUGGCACCCGGGAGCCAGCAAAAUUAGGGGAGGGCAGAGGAGAGCCUCCCUGCACUUUUAAACAUAUUUCAAUCCAGUAUUUGCACAGUCCUUCAGAGACGAAAUGUGAGUAAAUGUGUGGGGAUGUGAAUGAGCAACGAAGACUCCUGACGGGGAGCUGAGCAACAUGUAAAAUUACCAAGCAAGCUUGGGACUUCUGUAAAUGCACUGAGCACACUUGGAAAAGGUGAUGGUGGUUCUGGGAGGCUCUGCUCAGUCAUGGUGUUUUGCUUUGUGUCCUGGCUGCCAAACCAUACUCGAAUUGUAUUUUACUGGGAAUCAGGCAGCUCGAGUUACAGGUGAAUGGCUGGGUUAGUUGCCUCAGUCUUGGGUCAUUUCUGCAUUGUACUUAACUGAAUAAUACCUUCCCUUUCUUCUUCUUCUUUUUUUUUUUUUUGCUCAUUGAUCAAGCUGCUUUUGAGAAAAGUGAUACUUUGCAUAUCUGGCUAAGUGCUGUUAACAGCCUCUGCCUGCGGUUUGUUAAAAUUAAAAAAAAAAAAAAAAAAAGGAAAAAAAAGAAGUGUGAUCUUGCUGGAGAAGUAAUUUGCUUCUCUCCAACCAAUGAUGGCUUGCACUUUAUGCAAAUUGGUAUCUAGGGACAACAAAUCCCAUUUAAUACAUAUGCAUAGUUCAUAAAAAAAACGACGUGAGAGAAAGAGAAAAAAGAUAAAGCAACGAGUCAGCAAAAGAACAGGUUCCGAGGAAAUUUAUUGUCCCAAAUUGGACAUUUGUAACAGAUGAUGUGAACAAGUGUUAACUUUGUUUUCAGCAGCUCUUCACGUACAUUCACUAGACAUCACACAGAUUAUGUUUUAAGGAUCUGAACUGUAAUAAAAAAAAGUGUCUGUGGGCUUUGGAGUGUUGUGUUCCAUAUGGUUGGGGAAGUGCGGAGUUAUUGCGACAAGCAUCUUGUGAAGCUCAUUACGCACGGCGGUGUUAGAUGCGAAUUGCUGCGCAUCGCUAUAGGGUACGUACAUGACAUCCCACAGUCAGCAGAUAGCAACUGGAAAUGAAAGAUAUGAAGGCACAGAGUACAGCUUCAGGGAACAUGUUAGACAAAACAUCUGCUGGUAUCAGAAAGCUGCAUUAUCAGAUCAUUGUGGCCAUGAAUUUUUUAUAAAGACUUUUUUUUUUUAAAGCUGCAACUUUGAAAGUGACAUUUUGCGAGAAAGUUUUUGAUUGAAGUGUGAUGUCAGGAGAAAGGCCAGUCUAGUUUAUUAUCUGUGUAAGAGCCAAUAUUGGCAGCCUGAAUCAACUCCCUUCUCCAAGCAGUUGAGUUGGCCAUUCACGUACUACAAGUGCUUUUUCCCUUCUGAUCCUGAUGGCUGAUAAAACCUUGACCCAGAUUACAGGUUGUAGCUUUAGUACCAGGCUCCUCAGCAAGGAGUUUUCCAAGUUUAGUUCCUGAAGGGCUACUUUAUGGCAUGGCUGGGGCACUACUGAACAAAACUCACCAGGAACGCAGCUCCUUUGUGUUCGGGAGAUGGUGCGCCUUAUGUGCAAAGCACAGAGAGGCCAGCUCAGCCUCCUUGCCUAAUUCACACUCGAGCGGGACCUGCACUGUAACGCUGACGAUCGCUGGCUCUGUCAAGGAUGGCCACAGUUAACAAGGCUGUCAUAUGUUGGUUUCAAAAGCUUCUCCUGCCCAGGGGCUGUACUUCGGGAGCGUUGCUGUAAGCUAUGAACAUCUCAGUGCUGAGAGGGGCCUCCUACCUACUUAACAUUCCUAACAUUCAUAAGGGCGGUGAGAUGGCAUGAAAUGUAUGUGCAUAUUGUAACUAUUUACGUUAAAUGGCCAGGCAUUUUCCAGUCUCUUGCCUGUCCUGUCCAGCUAUGGAGUUUUGUUUGUGGCACUUGUACUACAGGGUGAAGCAACCUCCUCCUCUGCAGCAACAGGUACCGAUGAAAAACCCGUCUCUUGUUGAUCCGCAGUUGGUCUCUGUCUCUUCAGUGAACUCCAUCAAAGCCGUGCAUCCAAAUGUGAGCACACUGACUUCCCAGGCCAAUUCACAAGUGGUCACCUCAAAGAGAAGACCAAAUAUUUCCUGAUUUUUGGGCCUCCUUCCUAAGCCUUCUCCCUGUCUGUGUUAAGGGAGGGUGGGAGAACAGAGGGUGUCCAAAAGCAUUAGGACUUAUGAAAGGAUUUUGUUGUCAGUGGCUAUUUUUUAUGUAGUACCGUUCAUUAAUGCAGUGGGGGCUGCACAGAAAGCCAGAGGCAAUUCACGCUUCAUCGCUGAUACUUAGGGAGUCUGAAAGCAGGUGAGGGAUUUUGCUGGCCUGACCUGUUGCUGAGCGAGGCAAUUGUCAGGUGAGAGAUAUCGCUGCUGCGAGCAGCUGCCGAGAGAAGUGGCGCUCCCCGAGAUGACAGCCCACACAGGCCACGGCUGUAACAUCUUUUUCCCAACUGCUGCCUUUGAGUAGCAUUUAAAAACAGCAGGCCUGGGAUAUAGGACAUGCAGAUCAAGGCUUGGCUGUGUCACUAAACAGCAGCUACAUCAGGCAGGUAGUUCAGUGUCCUCUCUGCUGUAUAAAAAUAACUUGUUCCCUUACGGAUUUUUGUGAUUGCUUCCUUAGGUCAAGAUUUUAGAAAAUACUUGAAGAUAAACUUAAUGAAAACAGAAGCAAACCAAAGCUGAGUAGUUUCAGUUUUUUUCCUGUUUCAUUAGUUUGGAGCUAUAUUAUGAACUGAAAACUUCGAUGCUCAACUUGCUUGUAUCUGUGGAAAGAAAAAGCUGAAUAUGGAUCUGCAUUUCGCAGGGACUCUGUGCACUGGACUGGCUCACAUCUGUGCACCCACAUGCAAGGUUCCUAAACCCAGGGAUGCUCUGGGUUGGAGGGGGACAAGGAGGAGAUCUGGCUUUAGCUGAAUACUGGUCAUCCAGGACAUAGUUUUAGCUAAGAAAAUAUGAAUCAGAGGCUGGUACAUUUUUUUUGUUCAUUAAAAGAGUGCAAAGUCAUUUUUAUCUGAAGCUUAUGCUCCUGUUUUGGCCGCACACCCACACCUCCAGGGGGUGCCCACCUCUGCUGGGCUAAGUCAUUGCUUAGCUGGGAACUUGUCCAGGCAAGCUCAUGUCUCCAGAUCAGAGACUUCUUCCUUUGAACCAAUGUCCCAGUGCCCUGAGAGGGAACACUGUGAAUUUGGAAAGAGGAGACUGGCACUACGGCCCACCAAAAUGAGGUAUCAACCAAAUUUCUUCUUAACCGUCAUUGUCAUCUGCAGUGACCCAACAGUGAACAAAAGUAAGUCCUGCAGUCAGUCCUGUCUGUGCAACUGUGCACAAAGCAAGCAGAAACGUUUAACUCCCUCUUUUGUACAUGCAGCCAAAUACUGUUUUAUCUGAAAGCCAAUAUAUCAACAUACACUAAUUGGUGUGGGCUGUUGCGGUAACUAUGUUUUUAAUUGCAGAGGCUGAAAUGCGAACAUAUAUUCUGUCCCCUUCCCUUUUUUCACCUUUUCUUCAAGUUUGGGUUUAUGCAAUGCUUUGAAAGAUUUCCUUUGCAAUUCUUCAACUUUUCUUUGUCUCUGUGUGCUCUCCCUCAUAGCAAAAUUGUUUCUGAAUAGGUAAGUAUUUCAGUGAUGGAAUAGCUAUGAUUCCUUAUAGAACAUCUGUGUGUAUGUGUAUACAUGCAUAUAUCUAUGGAUACAUUCUGCAGUACAGAUAAAAAUUCUACCCCUGCCUACAGACGGCUGUAAUACGGGAAGCUUGUAAAGCAUGCAGGCAGUAUGUGUAGUCAGCAGAGCAAGCAGAGGGGGCAAAGAACUGGCACUGCGAUGUAGGGAAAGAGUUUGGAGGAGUAUAUGGACGUGCAGCUAACAAGAAGGGAAGGGAAGUGGCUGGAGGGUAAAGAGAUAUAAUGGGUCCCAAAUGUGGCAAGCACAUAUACAUAGAGCAAAUGCAAAAUGCCACCACUAGUGACAAGUGUAUUGCACCUAAGGAAAACAGCUGUGCCAAGUGCCGAAAUCCACAUUCAGCCUCCUGACCCUGUGUCUCCCCGGUCUGAUGUGGAUUAAAUUGGUCAGGUCUGAGAGCCUGCAUGAAUCCGUGUUCCACUGAAAUAACGGCUCAGUAUAUCUCUGAAACAUUUCUUGCAUGGCUACCUAUUUUGCACUUGCAAUCUUGCAUUUGUGAGACUGGUUUAUUUUAUUUUAUCCUAUUUUAUUUAUUCUGCUGUGCUCGCUAUCUCACAAACACUUUGAUUAUCUGUGUAGAUCAUUGCGUGGUUUAGUACAGUUUGGUGUUACUUACAAACCCUCCCACAUAACCCUAUUAUUUGUUAAUAAUUUUUCUAUUUUGAAGAAACACCCUUUGACACCUGAGCUGGAUCUCCUGUUCUUAGGCAUAAAUAUAAUAAAGUCCCCUAUGAAGAGCAUCUGUCUAACUAGUCCUAUCUGCUCUGUAUAUAUUUGAAUAUAUAAAAUAUUAAUAAAUGAUUCCAAAUGUUUAAUCAUAUCCAUUUGACUCCAUGAGGCUCAGUGUCUGUAGGCUUCCCGUGUUAACUGCCUCUGUGAUAUCUCCAUACUGCUGAUUUGUUGUUGAUCUUGAGUUUUUAAAGCAAAAUAAAACUGAGGUUUGCAGUUUGAUUUGAAUUAAUCAGGUCUGAUUAGACAGGAACAGAUCAGGCUGUUCUGGAAAUCCCUGACUCUCUUUAAUACAUUUUCAUGUGCUAGUCAAAAAUAAAUAAAUAAAUAAAUGUUCAUAUCUUAAGUAAGAGAGCUAUUUAUUUAACAGCAUUUUUUCAGAGUGCUGGAUCUUGGGGUUGGGGGGAGGAUUAUUAUGAUGUUCAGGUUGCAAGAAAGAAAUAGCAUUUUGUUUUACAAAAAUAAGGAUAUUUUAGAAUGGAGUCACCUGGUGGUAGAUCUCAUAAAUGUACAUAAAGAGAUCCUUCUUAAUAUUAUUAGUUGUUUUUUUUGUUGUUUUUUUUUUUUAAUUCUUGUGACACUGACUGUCCAUCUAGAAGCUUUGAUAGAUGGAGUCACAAAAACAAAAAAGUGUAUUUAGUUUAAUAAGGCAAUUUAAAGAGAAAGGCUGGAAUUAUGUAUGGCAGAGGACAAUUAUGCAAGCUAAAUGAUUCUUCAAUUAAUAAUGAGAGCCAUGAAAAGCAAAGGAGAAAGGAUCCUCCUCUCAGAAGGAGAAAGCUUUAUGGUUUCCUCCUGUGCGUACCGGGCACGUGAGGGCAGUUUUGCUGAGUCCGGUGCGGGGGACAGGGGCAGCUCUGGGGUCAGCUUUCAGCCAGAGCCUCUGGGGGUUCUGCUGGUGGCAUCUUUGGGGGCAAAGUGUCCCAUGGAAAUUUUGUGUUCCUACACAGGUCCGCCUCGGACGGUCUCCAUCUCGCAGAGCUCCGUUAGAAAGCAGCAAGCCCCAGCUGAACGUGGACCUGCGCUGUCAGCACCUGCCAGGCCCCAAACUGAUGAAAGUGAAGAAGGGAAUCUUCCACAUGGCUGCAUCUUGAAAAGCAGGUGCCGCAGUGAUUGCUUCCUACCUGAACACGCUGCGCUAUGCCAAGGGACUGGCCAGGACUUGCAUGUUAAUGCAGAAUACCUGAUGCAAUUACAUGUGAAGAGGACAUUCAGAUGCACUUCCAUAAAUGGCCUUGUGCUUCUCAAUUACAUUAACUGUCUUCACAGAUUCUUUAACAGAAAUCAUAUCCUUCUUUUUUUUUUUCAAAAUAACAAAUAGGCAUUAAUCUCAACUUUGCUGUUAUCCAAGAUGUCUUGAUCAAAGAUGUGAGAGUAAUACAAUAAACACAAGAAAAGAAACUACUGGUGGUUUCCAAUACAAACUAACAGGGAAGUGUCAAGUGAGCAGAUACUGACAAUUCAGCCCGCAAAUCAAAUGUUCGUGUCCAAAACUCCACCUUUGAGAAGGAAGAAUAAAUAUCCACAGAAUGUUUUGGCUAUAAUUACUUCAUUGAGGAGAAAAAAAAAAAGGAAAAGUGCUGAAUUCAGUUUGCUAAAGUCAAGACAUUUAUAUUUUUGGCAUGUAAAGAUGUAAACCAAAUGUUUAAAUGAAAUGUCAUCCCUUGGGCUCACAUUUGCCCAUUGAACUACAGUACAAACCCUCCAUAGACCUUCAUACAAUACACAUUUUUCAGUUCAUUGAAGAAGGCCCCUGCUGCUUCUCAAGGAAAACUAACUUGCAGAAGCAAAAUAAAUACUGGCGUCGCAGUGUAGCAGUGGAGCCUUGAAAGCACAGAUGUGUAGCAUUGUCGGCUUUUAAAUCAGAUAAGGAGUAUUCAGACAUAAUCACUCCAGUGUCUGGGACAUGUUGCACGCUGCAGAGCUGCCCAAGUAUGGCCCGACAGACACAUGCAGUGUGUAUUCAAGCUAAAUGGCAACAAGCUGACAGUAUUUCAUAACAGUCCUGUUAUGUCUAGAUAGGCAAAUGUUUGUGUAAUUUAGCUGUGACUUUGAAAUAGCUUAAGAAAUUGAGACACAAAUGGAGCUUUGUGAUUAGUUGUCAAUGAUGCCAUACCUGCUGGAUGAUGAUACUGCCGAAAAAUACUUGGGUUGAAGGGGCGUCCCUGGGGUCCUGAAGCUGUGCUGCAAGAGGCAUCGCCCCAAAGCCUCCAUCCAUCCCUUCAUUUGUCCAUCUGAGGAGUGGGACUGCUAUAGGGCUGCUCCUAUAAAAAAUAUAUGGCCGUGUAGUUAGUCGUAUGCCCUGUGCCUAGCUAAAGCACGGCAUGCAAACGGUUGUAUUUGUCUGCGUUUAGACAAGAAACUGCUAAAAAAUCAAAGUAUAUUUAACCCAACAGAAACAGGGCUCACUCGGUCUGUGGUAGGCCUAUUAAGACCUAUGAAGUACCUCAGCAAGAGAAAAUUUAACUUACAUACAACACAUGAUUUUAGGUAAAGAAAUAUUGAUGGGGUGGGGGGAACAAGUAUUUUUUUAGCUCUAAUUUAUGGCUGAGCAGCUUCAUUUUAGUUACUUCAUGAGAAUAUUUUAAACCAAGCCUGCAUAAUAUUAAAAUAAGUUAAAAUGUAUGUAAAAUUUAUGAGAGCAUGUCAGGUGCAAUGCUUGAUAAAGUAAGUUUAAUGCUUCAGAAUUUUUUUCUCCAGGCAGAGAAAGCUGAAUCCUGCAAUUCUAGGUUACAGUAUAAUUUUAGAAACUCUUUUCCAUUAUACCAUUCUUUUAUUAAUGAGAUCCAACCCAAUUUAACGAAAAGAGGUAAAUUCCUAGAGUUUGUGGAAAGUACUCAGCAGGUUGGAAGCCAGGAGCGUGUGAUAAAAGAGGAUAUUUUCCUACUGUUCAUGUGAAAUAUCCAAUUUUAUAAAAACACAGAGGAAAUCAAUUUACAACAAACUUCAUGCGUGCCUCUUCAGUGUGGUUUUUCUGCUGGAAAUGCUGCCUCACUCCGUGAACAAAUAAAAGCUUUGGCAGUUGACAGGGACUGUACAUCACUUUGAAAACUCUUCAUUUACCAGGGGUGUGUCAUGUUGUUUCAUUGUGUGACACUCCCAAUUAUCGUGACAGAGCUAAAUGACAAAGUACUGUCACCCCACUGAAAAUUCAGAGCAGCUUCUUUCCAUUUUUCUGCCUGGUCACGGGAACAUUGCUGAACUGGUACAACAGAGCGGCAGGAGCAGCAAACGGGGAAUAUCUGCAUACUGCUCUACUGUAUUAAAAAUUCAGCUCCUCGGCAAUAUUAAAUCUGAAUUUACUUCCAUCAAACAGAAACUUAGCAUAUCUCAUUCUUCCAUUAUAAAAUAUUGACAUCAGAAAUAGUGAAUCCUGGAAUGAAGAUUACAGAUGAAAACUAUAUGCUUGGCGUUAACUUGAGUUUUCCUGGCCCAUUAUGCAACACUCCUCUGUUUAUGAAAAAUACAAAUAUAAAAAAAGAAACAAACAAACAAAAAACAACCAAAUUAAGGCCACUUGAUCUACCCCAGAACAACAGAUGAACAAUAAAACCAAGCUCAGGAUGCCUCAAACUUCUAAAACUUCUUUUGCUGAACUUUUGAAGAAGAAAUUCCUCUACAGCCUUCCUCAGCUGGUCUGAAAUACACUGCCCUGUUCAAAUUGUGAAUAAUAAUUUUAAGAAAUCCUCUAGUAAAGAAAGGCUGUCCAGCUCGGCCUGCUAGAGAUCAGUUAAAAUAAUAUUUGACCCUUUUUUCAUUUGACCUUUUUCCAAGCUUUUACUGGACUUGUUUGUUGUCUCAUUUUGGUAUGAUGCUGUAUGUUCCAGAAGUGGCUGAUGACAAUAAAAUCUGAUAUAUAACAGUAAAAUGGUCGUUCCUUCUUACAUCUGACAACAAUGCCUCACUGCCACCAGGACUGUCUGCAUAUUUAUUGUUUAAAGUCAGGCUUUUCCCCUGGAAGCUGGAAGGAUACACUGACGGGUGCCUUAACUUUCUCCUACCAUCCAGGAGGAAUUAGGUAGCGGUCAGCUAUAUGAGAUGGACACCAUGCGACAACCACUUCCUGUAAGUAGCAUGUGCCUGACAAAACUAAGUUCAGCAGUGGGACAGCAACUCUUCAGACCUCUCACCAUCUUUCAGUGCUUCCAAACAACAACAACAACAACAAAUCCAAAGAUGAUAGUUUAUAUACAGCCCAGGAAGCUCUUGGAAAUUAGUGUGUAAAGUUCUGAAGGCAGAGCAGUACGGGGCAAUAACCAGCACACAAUGCAUUGCUAUUGCAACAACAAACAGCUAAACUACCAUGUGUUUAUUUUUCAGUAUGCACAAUUGUUGGAGGAUAAUGUAAAAUAUUCUUUGAAGGAAAUGCUGAAAGUGUUGUGCUUCCCCUAGCUCCCAUGGUCCUGACAAGAAACAACCCAGAAAUUCUAAUAAAUAGAAAAUAGAAAUAAAUACUUUAACUAUAUGGCAUAGGGUUUUGAAUGGGCUUUCUGAAUCAGAAAGUGCUGCCUGUAUGUCUUCGUUAUUUCUACACUCUGUAAUGUUGGCUCUCCAAAAGUCAGAGACAAAGUGAGAUAGAUACUACAAGGAUCACAGAUACUACACUAGGAAACCAAGUAUCAGUGGUACAUCCAGAUUUAUGGUAGAAGAUGGCAGUAAAGUGAAAGCAAAACUGUUUGCACAGUACGUAUUGUUGCCCAUUACUGUGUGUUUGCCCUUUUUUCUUGCUUAGCUACAGCUGAAAGAAUGGAAAAUUGUACCUUAUAUACAGUAUUAAGAGACACUUUUUGAUCGUAAGGUCAAUCAGACUAGUUUACCUGCUUGAGGUAUUUAUGGCACAAUCACUCAGUGUCUUUAAGGAAAGGUUAGAUACAUUUAUGGGAAAGGUAUUUUGCAGAAGCCUUCCUGUUUCAUAGAGGUCUUGGACAAAAUGACCCAGGAGGCCCCUUCCAAGUCUAUCAAAUGUGGUUUCCUGA